UUCACCUGAGGUCACCUUGAAGUCGGUUCAUGUGGGGGAUGCCGUCACACUGCCCGUGACCCUUCCCAAGGGCCAGAGGCUCACCAACCUCCUCCUGAGGGACUCCUUGAGAAAACAAGCCAUCGCCAUCUGGAUGGAGUCCAAAAUGAUCACGAUUCUAGACAUUGACUACGCCAACCGGGUGGCCUUCCAGGAAGACCAGAUGGCCUUCAGAAUUGCCAACCUCAGCUUGGGCGACGGGACCACCUACGAAAUCUCCACCAGCUUCAGCACUUCCACACCAAAACUGCUCAGCAGCUUUCUGGUGGCUGUAUUCAACAUCACCGAAAGGGUCUCCUCCUUGGGGAAUGAUUCCUGCCACAUUUAUCUGGACUGUCAGGCAGGGAUGGGGCGCGGUCAGAGAGUGACCUACACCUGGAAGGACACCGAGGCCGGCACCACCCUGAGCCAGGUGGCCUGGCUCACUCAGCUGGUGCACCGCAACCAGAGGAAGGCCUACACCUGCAUGGCCCAGACCUCUACCGCCCAGAGCUCCUUCAGCCUCGUCCUCCAGCACUCCUGUAUUCCCAACACUGCAAGUCCAGGUAAAAGGCAGAACCUGCCCAAGACGCCUCCCCCCCCCCCCCCCCGUGGCUGAGCCAAGCCACUUGCAGCUGGCAAAGACUUUUCCGCACCCCCCCUGAAGGCAGACUCGCAGCACCAAUGUCUGCCUGAAGUGCAGGUGCCCCUCCUUCUUGGCACCAGCAAUUUGGCACCAGCAUUCCUGCCCCCUGC
This is a long non-coding RNA of Notechis scutatus (mainland tiger snake), 774 nucleotides long. Lineage: Eukaryota; Metazoa; Chordata; Lepidosauria; Squamata; Elapidae. The record is from Ensembl.